GAUGAACGCUGGCGGCGUGCCUAAUACAUGCCAGUCGAGCGAACGGACGAGAAGCUUGCUUCUCUGAUGUUAGCGGCGGACGGGUGAGUAACACGUGGAUAACCUACCUAUAAGACUGGGAUAACUUCGGGAAACCGGAGCUAAUACCGGAUAAUAUUUUGAACCGCAUGGUUCAAAAGUGAAAGACGGUCUUGCUGUCACUUAUAGAUGGAUCCGCGCUGCAUUAGCUAGUUGGUAAGGUAACGGCUUACCAAGGCAACGAUGCAUAGCCGACCUGAGAGGGUGAUCGGCCACACUGGAACUGAGACACGGUCCAGACUCCUACGGGAGGCAGCAGUAGGGAAUCUUCCGCAAUGGGCGAAAGCCUGACGGAGCAACGCCGCGUGAGUGAUGAAGGUCUUCGGAUCGUAAAACUCUGUUAUUAGGGAAGAACAUAUGUGUAAGUAACUGUGCACAUCUUGACGGUACCUAAUCAAAAAGCCACGGCUAACUACGUG
RNAcentral lists this ribosomal RNA (497 nucleotides) under uncultured bacterium. Its description in RNAcentral is "partial 16S ribosomal RNA". It matches the Rfam family "Bacterial small subunit ribosomal RNA", at positions 28 to 507 of the family's 1533-position model. The record is from RNAcentral.